UUUGCCACUGCCACGAGUAGACUGCAUGGAAAUCAUACAAUAAGAGUAACUCGCAAAAAAGUAAGACAACCUCCACAAAUGAGAGUUCUUCCCAUUCAGAUAGCAAGUGGGUUGCUUUUCAGCAUUGUAAGUACUCCAUCAGGAAGAAAAUUUAUGGACAUUUUUUGGGCUUUGGAUUUUGUGUAGUUGUAUUCUUGGUUUUUUGCCUUUUUCCUUAUGUUAUAGUAUCUAUUUUUUCAAUAAAUAAAAAAUUUUGAACCUCCACUUAAUUUCUCUUUUUUAAGAAAAUUCACAUGAUGAUAUAUGUACCGAGAGUCCAGAAAGAUUGUAGAAAUAAUAGAUGGGCAUCCGGAAAGUUGUGAUUUGUUUGGACGGUUGGACCCAUGAUGCAUUAUAUCUAUGUAAAAGUUGUGAUAUAUAUGACAUGCGCAAAAUUUAGAACUUGAGGUCCUCCUGUCACUUCCUUUGUCAGUUUGGCAUGUACUGUUUUAAGUGAAGAUUUAGUUUCUAAUAUAAGUGAAUAUGCAAAAUUGUUUUAUGAACUUAAGACCAAAUCAAUGGGGUAACCAGAUAAGGUUUGGUAAUUGCGGUUUUGAUAACUGCUAAGUAGAUGCGACAUGUUUAUAUUAAUUCUUAAACAAGUUUCCAUUCUUAUUUUCGAAAAAAGAGAUGGUGAUAGUUUGUGUCAAGACAUGCCCUAAGAAUCUCUUGUUAGUUGACCAGAAUUGAUAGCAGACACAUACAAGUGUUUCAGAAAUGGAAGUUCUCUCUCUCUCUCUCUCUCAAAGUAUGUGUUUAUGAUGAUAGUAACAGUGACCUAAUUGUGGCUUCAAAUCCAACUAUCAUUAGAACUUACCACAUGCCAAAAUUCAAAUAGAUACAAUAACGGAAAGAACAAAGCACAAAAAAAUGUAAAUGGUUGCUUCUCAGAUAUAGAUCUAAGUGUGCGAAGAGCUUUAAGAGCUUAUUUUUUGGUGUUAUUAUCUGAUUUUAUAUGUUCACUAUAUAAAUAUUUAUUCUUCUGAAUGAUCUGCAAAGACAAUAUCAUACAUUAGUUAUGUCAAAUCAAUUAGUGUCUUCUCUCUCCUGACAUGUCUUGAUCGUGAGCCUCUGAAGCAUGAAUAAUCUUUUGCAUUUGCCUUGUGACAGGAUACAUGUUCUACUUUCAGGCAAUGCAUUGUAUUGGUGAUUUGGUCACAAGAAAUCCUUGUAAUCUUGAUGCUCUUGCAAGUAAAUCAGUUGGGGAGCUCAUGUUGGACCUGCCUUAAAUGCCAUUUCCUUUGUUGCUUUGAGUACCUCUACCACAGGAAUCUAUGGCAGAUGAUUAUAUGUUCAAGUGCUUCUGUGGGGUUAUCUAUUUUUAACUUUAUGAGCUACAUAUGAACAAUUGUUGUUUAUUGGUUAACAUGCUAUGCAUAUUCACCAUAGCUUUUUGAAUUCUACUGUACAU
Molecule: long non-coding RNA, 1450 nt
Filed under: Elaeis guineensis (African oil palm)
Lineage: Eukaryota; Viridiplantae; Streptophyta; Magnoliopsida; Arecales; Arecaceae
Description: long non-coding RNA (EGUI_LNC059258)
Source: RNAcentral